GGGUGUCGGGCGGGACUUGCUUCUUGUUGCCCCCGGCAGGUUGACGCGAUGGUCGGGCCGCCACG
This 65-nucleotide non-coding RNA is filed under the name Caldimonas brevitalea. RNAcentral describes it as "Polyangium brachysporum Li+-I sequence". It matches the Rfam family "nhaA-I RNA". Rfam says of the family: Acidobacteria, Alphaproteobacteria, Betaproteobacteria and Gammaproteobacteria, Verrucomicrobia, cand. division NC10. Lineage: Bacteria; Pseudomonadati; Pseudomonadota; Betaproteobacteria; Burkholderiales; Sphaerotilaceae. The record is from Rfam by way of RNAcentral.